This 106-nucleotide microRNA precursor is filed under the name Canis lupus familiaris (dog). Its description in RNAcentral is "mir-8834 microRNA precursor family". It matches the Rfam family "mir-8834 microRNA precursor family". Lineage: Eukaryota; Metazoa; Chordata; Mammalia; Carnivora; Canidae. RNAcentral also lists the same sequence under 1 other name. The record is from Rfam by way of RNAcentral.
AGGAGGAACAACCCCAGUGGUGGCGGCCAGCCCUGGAGCCGUGAAUUCAACUCACACAUUAACUACAGAGCUCUCAGUCUGCAGGGCUUGGAGGCUCCGGGGUGGG